GACGAACGCUGGCGGCGUGCCUAAUACAUGCAAGUUGAGCGCUGAAGGUUGGUACUUGUACCAACUGGAUGAGCAGCGAACGGGUGAGUAACGCGUGGGGAAUCUGCCUUUGAGCGGGGGACAACAUUUGGAAACGAAUGCUAAUACCGCAUAAAAACUUUAAACACAAGUUUUAAGUUUGAAAGAUGCAAUUGCAUCACUCAAAGAUGAUCCCGCGUUGUAUUAGCUAGUUGGUGAGGUAAAGGCUCACCAAGGCGAUGAUACAUAGCCGACCUGAGAGGGUGAUAGGCCACAUUGGGACUGAGACACGGCCCAAACUCCUACGGGAGGCAGCAGUAGGGAAUCUUCGGAAAUAGACGAAAGUCUGACCGAGCAACGCCGCGUGAGUGAAGAAGGUUUUCGGAUCGUAAAACUCUGUUGGUAGAGAAGAACGUUGGUGAGAGUGGAAAGCUCAUCAAGUGACGGUAACUACCCAGAAAGGGACGGCUAACUACGUG
RNAcentral lists this ribosomal RNA (497 nucleotides) under uncultured bacterium. RNAcentral's name for it is "partial 16S ribosomal RNA". It matches the Rfam family "Bacterial small subunit ribosomal RNA", at positions 28 to 507 of the family's 1533-position model. The record is from RNAcentral.